ACAAAGGCUUUGAAAGAGGAGAGUAACUGGAACGAAACCAACAGGGAGGCCUGGGGCUACGACUGAGACCCCGCCAGGCAGAAAUCCAGUGAAGUUCCCUCUGGAGUUGUCCGCGUGAAUGUGAAAUACACUAGUAGCGCGGAACGCAACCCAAGCGUUAGCCUGGGGACCGAUCGCCAUUCUGCUGUCGGAUGAAGAGGGUCGCGUGAGCGACCAACAAGGGUGGUACCGCGGGAAACGCCUCCCGUCCCUUGA
Molecule: non-coding RNA, 255 nt
Organism: Chloroflexi bacterium RBG_19FT_COMBO_49_13
Lineage: Bacteria; Bacillati; Chloroflexota
Source: Rfam